UAUUGGUUAGUCUGUAGUCCACUGAUUA
RNAcentral lists this small RNA (28 nucleotides) under Bombyx mori (domestic silkworm). RNAcentral describes it as "ovarian small RNA-24269". The record is from RNAcentral. Lineage: Eukaryota; Metazoa; Arthropoda; Insecta; Lepidoptera; Bombycidae.